CUCGUGUCGUGAGAUGUUGGGUUAAGUCCCGCAACGAGCGCAACCUCGCCUUUAGUUGCCAGCAUUUCGAGUUGGGCACUCUAGAGGGACUGACCGGUGUCAAACCGGGAGGAAGGUGGGGAUGACGUCAAGUCCUCAUGGCCUUUAUGCCCAGGGCUACACACGUGCUACAAUGGAUCGUACAAAGGGUCGCGAACCCGCGAGGGGGAGCCAAUCCCAAAAACCGGUCCUCAGUUCGGAUUGGAGUCUGCAACUCGACUCCAUGAAGUUGGAAUCGCUAGUAAUCGUGGAUCAGCAUGCCACGGUGAAUACGUUCCCGGGCCUU
RNAcentral lists this ribosomal RNA (325 nucleotides) under uncultured Desulfobacca sp. RNAcentral's name for it is "bacterial SSU rRNA". It matches the Rfam family "Bacterial small subunit ribosomal RNA", at positions 1059 to 1382 of the family's 1533-position model. Lineage: Bacteria; Pseudomonadati; Thermodesulfobacteriota; Desulfobaccia; Desulfobaccales; Desulfobaccaceae. The record is from RNAcentral.